RNAcentral lists this ribosomal RNA (254 nucleotides) under uncultured bacterium. RNAcentral describes it as "partial 16S ribosomal RNA". It matches the Rfam family "Bacterial small subunit ribosomal RNA", at positions 524 to 776 of the family's 1533-position model. The record is from RNAcentral.
UACAGAGGGUGCGAGCGUUGUCCGGAAUCACUGGGCGUAAAGGGCACGUAGGCGGCCUGAUAAGUAGGGGGUGAAAUCCUGCGGCUUAACCGCAGGGCUGCCUUCUAAACUGUCAGGCUAGAGCACAGUAGAGGCAGGUGGAAUUCCCGGUGUAGCGGUGGAAUGCGUAGAGAUCGGGAAGAACAUCAGUGGCGAAGGCGGCCUGCUGGGCUGUUGCUGACGCUGGAGGCGCGACAGCGUGGGGAGCAAACAGG